AACGAACGCUGGCGGCAUGCCUAAUACAUGCAAGUCGAACGAGAUCUUCGGAUCUAGUGGCGCACGGGUGCGUAACGCGUGGGAAUCUGCCCUUGGGUUCGGAAUAACUUCUGGAAACGGAAGCUAAUACCGGAUGAUGACGUAAGUCCAAAGAUUUAUCGCCCAAGGAUGAGCCCGCGUAGGAUUAGCUAGUUGGUGGGGUAAAGGCCCACCAAGGCGACGAUCCUUAGCUGGUCUGAGGAUGAUCAGCCACACUGGGACUGAGACACGGCCCAGACUCCUACGGGAGGCAGCAGUAGGGAAUAUUGGACAAUGGGCGAAAGCCUGAUCCAGCAAUGCCGCGUGAGUGAUGAAGGCCUUAGGGUUGUAAAGCUCUUUUACCCGGGAUGAUAAUGACAGUACCGGGAGAAUAAGCUCCGGCUAACUCCGUG
RNAcentral lists this ribosomal RNA (431 nucleotides) under uncultured bacterium. RNAcentral describes it as "partial 16S ribosomal RNA". It matches the Rfam family "Bacterial small subunit ribosomal RNA", at positions 29 to 507 of the family's 1533-position model. The record is from RNAcentral.